Long non-coding RNA from Myotis daubentonii (Daubenton's bat), 285 nucleotides. RefSeq lists it as uncharacterized. The record is from RefSeq and is a predicted model, not a curated record. NCBI's taxonomy places the organism in Eukaryota, Metazoa, Chordata, Mammalia, Chiroptera, Vespertilionidae.
GCAGGACGGCCAAUAAUUAUCUAACGACCGGAGAACGCCAAACAUCCCUGGACUAGAAGUCGCGAGGAACAUAAAACGGCCAAGAAAGUUUAUUCUCUUUGCUGGUUCAGAAAACAAAAGGAUUGCAAAUAGACUUCACAGGUGCUCCAACUCAGCUUUGCCUCCCUUUGAUUCCAACAAAGCUACCCAGCAGGAAAGGAGAAGGACUCCCUCAAGCUGACAAGAGGCAAGGAGACAAGGACACUUCUGGCAGAAGGAAGUACAUGAACAUAAAGGCAGAGGUGC